AUUUAACGCUGGCGGCAGGCCUAACACAUGCACGUCGAACGAGUGGCUGACGGGUGAGUAAUGUCUGGGAAACUGCCUGCUGGAGGGGGAUAACUACUGUAAACGGUAGCUAAUACCGCAUACCAUCAUAUAUGCCCAGAUGGGAUUAGCUUGGGGGUGGGGUCACGGCUCACCAAGGCGACGAUCCCUAGCUGGUCUGAGAGGAUGCACAGCAACACGGGAACUGAGACACGGUCAAGACGCCUACGGGAGGCAGCAGUGGGGAAUAUUGCACAAGGGGCGCAAGCCUGAUGCAGCCAUGCGGCGUGUAUGAAGAAGGCCUUCGGGUUGUAAAGUACUUUCAGCGGGGAGGCGUUACCCGCAGAAGAAGCACCGGCUAACUCCGUGCCAGCCGCCGCGGUAAUAC
Molecule: ribosomal RNA, 406 nt
Filed under: uncultured bacterium
Lineage: Bacteria
Description: partial 16S ribosomal RNA
Rfam family: Bacterial small subunit ribosomal RNA
Source: RNAcentral